RNAcentral lists this ribosomal RNA (360 nucleotides) under Triticum aestivum (bread wheat). Its description in RNAcentral is "partial small subunit ribosomal RNA". Lineage: Eukaryota; Viridiplantae; Streptophyta; Magnoliopsida; Poales; Poaceae. The record is from RNAcentral.
AUGAUCAGAGAGUUCAUAAGAUGCAAGAAAAGUAUCCCAUACGCAUCGGAGGUCCCCAGCAGCAUAAAGUACCAUUUCAACCUCACAAGCAGGGGCUAUCGUGCGCUUGUGUUUAGCGGAGACCAUGAUCUUGUGAUACCAUUUUUGAGCACGCAUGCGUGGAUUAGAUCCUUCAACUUCUCCGUAGUCGAUGAUUGGAGAGCAUGGCAUCUUGAUGGCCAAGCUGCAGGAUUUACAAUCACAUACGCCAACUAUAUGACAUUUGCGACAAUAAAGGGUGGUGGCCACGUAUCCAUAGAACACCGACCUAAGCAAUGUCUUGCCAUGGUUCAACGCUGGUUGGAUAAUGAGCCUCUAUGA